Molecule: long non-coding RNA, 207 nt
Filed under: Elaeis guineensis (African oil palm)
Lineage: Eukaryota; Viridiplantae; Streptophyta; Magnoliopsida; Arecales; Arecaceae
Description: long non-coding RNA (EGUI_LNC013789)
Source: RNAcentral
UGCAGCAUCCCAAUAAUCUAUAGGAUAUCUUUGUAACUAGGCCGGUGGCUUCCAUCUUGGCAUGGUAUCAGUAGCGUGUACUCAUCAUUAGACUGUUAUAGCACUCAAAUAGCAUGUGCAGAACCAUCUUCCCAAUUUGUGCCAAAUCUGGUAGCAUGGGCACCAUCUCAUAUGAUAAGAUCAUAUGCAAAACCAGCCUUGCAAACU